Molecule: ribosomal RNA, 497 nt
Filed under: uncultured bacterium
Lineage: Bacteria
Description: partial 16S ribosomal RNA
Rfam family: Bacterial small subunit ribosomal RNA
Source: RNAcentral
GAUGAACGCUGGCGGCGUGCCUAAUACAUGCAAGUCGAGCGAACAGACGCGGAGCUUGUUCCUCUGACGUUAGCGGCGGGCGGGUGUGUAACACGUGGAUAACCUACCUGUCAGACUGAGAUCACUUCGGGACAGCGGAGCUAAUACCGGAUAAUAUAUUGCACCACAUGGUUCAAUGGUGAAAGACGGUUUUGCUGUCACUUCUAGCUGGAUCCGCGCCGCAUGAGCUAGUUGUUAAUGUAAAGGCUUACCAAGGCAACGAUGCGUUGCCGACCUCAGAGGGUGAUAGCCCACACUGGAACGGAGACACGGUCCAGACGCCUACGGGAGGCAGCAGUAUCGUAUCUUCCGCAACGGUCGAAAGCCUUACGGAGCAACGCCGCGUGAGUUACGAAGGCCUCCGGAGCGUAAAACCCUCUUAUUAGUGAAGAACAACUGUGGCAGUAACCAUGCACUGCUUGACGGUACCUAAUCAGAAAGCCACGGCUAACUACGUG